UACCGGCGGCUCGAGUGGUGGCCACUAUUACUGGGCUUAAAGCGUCCGUAGCUUGGUUGUUAAGUCUCUUGGGAAAUCUGUCGGCUUAACCGACAGGCGUUUAAGGGAUACUGGCAAUCUAGGGACCGGGAGAGGUGAGAGGUACUUCAGGGGUAGGAGUGAAAUCCUGUAAUCCUUGGGGGACCACCUGUGGCGUAGGCGUCUCACCAGAACGGCUCCGACAGUGAGGGACGAAAGCUGGGGGAGCAAACCGGAUUAGAUACCCGGGUAGUCCCAGCCGUAAACGAUGCGCGUUAGGUGUAUCGGUGACCACGAGUCACCGAGGUGCCGAAGGGAAACCGUGAAACGUGCCGCCUGGGAAGUACGGUCGCAAGGCUGAAACUUAAAGGAAUUGGCGGGGGAGCACCACAACAGGUGGAGCCUGCGGUUUAAUCGGACUCAACGCCGGAAACCUCACCGGAUAAGACAGCGGGAUGAUAGCCAGGCUGAAGACUUUGCUUGACUAGCU
Molecule: ribosomal RNA, 508 nt
Filed under: uncultured archaeon
Lineage: Archaea
Description: bacterial SSU rRNA
Rfam family: Archaeal small subunit ribosomal RNA
Source: RNAcentral